UAAUUGGUGGGUACAUAGCACGUAUGGAACGGUUCAGGUAUUUAAGAAGCGAAAAGACCAGACCGAAAUGGAGAGACAUAAGAUGAGUCUGGCCCAGAAGAGCUCUGGUUUGAAUCGGCUUUAAGCUGCGCUCAAUGUCGGAUCUGGGCAUCGGUUCUUAGAAUUAAAGAAAGAAGAAGAGAACACGGCAUCUCCUGCGACCUCCAUUUCGUUCUCUCUCAUGUGCCUCUCUCUCAUGGCAGAUUCACUUAUCUAUGGCGAGUAGGCAUUUAGUGAGCUGUCGCUUGAAUAGUCUGUGGAAGGAGAGGUUAGACUCUGUGAUACUUUCGAAAAGCGUCAUUGUUUUACGCCAUGAUUUUCUCAGGAACAAAGGUCAGCUGGUGCUCGUAUGUGUUCUCAAAGGCUUCGACGUUUACGUCAACAUGGUCCUUGAGGAUUUCACCGAGUAACAGUAUAUUUUGCUGGCUUCAGAUGGAAGCAAAUUGCAGAGAUAGUGAAAGUAAAGAGCUGAGACUGGAGACAGGGCAACUGAGUGUGGUGGGUGCAGUGAGAGUUGCGGUCAGAAGCUCUUUCAUGGUGACUUGCUGAUAAUACUAUACGCCACAAAGAAAAAGCCGUUUAGAGACAAGUAGAAAUGAUAUGAAGUGAAAUCAAAUGUUAUAAAUCAUUGUACAUGAUAGGGCUGGGCGUUCGGGUACCCAUUCGGGUUUCGGUUUAGUCCAUUCGGUUUUCGGGUUUUCGGGGUCAAAGAUUUCAGCCCCAUUCGGAUAUUUCUAAAAUUUUGGUUCGGGUUCGGUUCGGAUCUUUGCGGGUUCGGUUCGGGUUCGGAUAACUCAUUUAAAAUGUUUUUAAAUUUUCAUAAUUCAUUAUAUACUUUAAAUUUUCAAAAUCUAUAAGAAAGAUAAUAUAUUACAUAUAAAUUUUCAUAACAUAUAUGUCAAAAUACCUUAAUUUAACAUAUAAAUUGGUUUUCUUUGAAUAUUUGGAUAAAAAAUCAAUAGAUAUUUAACUAUUUUGGUGUUUUCAGUAUACUUUAGCUAUUUUAAACAUUCACUUUUGACUAUUUGCAUAUAUUUUCCAAGUAUUUUGGAAAACUUAAAGGUAUCUUAUAUAUUUUUAAUAUUUUUAAUAUACAUUAUAUAUAAAAACAAUGUAUAUAUUUAAGUAUAUAAAUUUAUUUCGGAUACAUUCGGGUACCCAAAAUAUUUCGGUUCGGAUAGGGUUCGGUUUCGGUUCUUUAAAUACCGAAAUUUUGAACCCGUUCGGAUAUUUAAUCAAUUUCGGUUCAGGUUCGGUGCUACUUUUUCGGAUCGGGUUCGGUUCGGU
Molecule: long non-coding RNA, 1326 nt
Organism: Raphanus sativus (radish)
Lineage: Eukaryota; Viridiplantae; Streptophyta; Magnoliopsida; Brassicales; Brassicaceae
Exons: 3
Source: RefSeq, a predicted model, not a curated record